UGGGGAAUCUUGCGCAAUGGGCUAACGCCUGACGCAGCAACGCCGCGUGGAGGAUGAAGGUCUUUGGAUUGUAAACUCCUGUCAGCAGGGAAAAAGCGAAUCGGCCUAACACGCCGGUGAGUUGAUUGUAGCUGCAGAGGAAGCCCCGGCUAACUCUGUGCCAGCAGCCGCGGUAAUACAGAGGAGCCAAGCGUUGUCCGGAUUGACUGGGCGUAAAGCGCACGCAGGCGGUCGCGCGCGUGGGGUGUGAAAUCUGGCCGCUUAACGGCCAGGCGCCAUCCCAUACGGCGCGACUGGAGCGAUGCAGAGGUCGAUGGAAUUGCCGGUGUAGUGGUGAAAUGCGUAGAGAUCGGCAGGAACACCCAGGGGGAAACCAGUCGACUGGGCAUCUACUGACGCUGAGGUGCGAGAGCGUGGGGAGCGAAC
RNAcentral lists this ribosomal RNA (426 nucleotides) under uncultured bacterium. RNAcentral's name for it is "bacterial SSU rRNA". It matches the Rfam family "Bacterial small subunit ribosomal RNA", at positions 355 to 773 of the family's 1533-position model. The record is from RNAcentral.